RNAcentral lists this ribosomal RNA (381 nucleotides) under uncultured eukaryote. Its description in RNAcentral is "partial 18S ribosomal RNA". It matches the Rfam family "Eukaryotic small subunit ribosomal RNA", at positions 592 to 976 of the family's 1831-position model. The record is from RNAcentral.
CAAUAGCGUAUAUUAAAGCUGUUGCGGUUAAAAAGCUCGUAGUUGGAUUUCUGUCAAGGACAACUGGUCCGCCCUCCGGGUGAGCACAUAGUUUGGUCUUGACAUCUUGCUGGAAGCUGUUGCUGCACUUGGCUGUGUGGCGCAGUGUUCAGCACUUUCACUUUGAGGAAAUUGGAGUGUUUCAAGCAGGCACAUGCCUUUGGACACAGUAGCAUGGAAUAAUUAGAUUGGGCUUUUGCUCCAAUUUGUCGGUUUCUGGAGCUGAGGUGAGAAUUAAUGGGGAUUGUUGGGGGCAUCCGAAUUUAGCCGUCAGAGGUGAAAUUCUUGGAUCUGCUAAAGACGGACAACUGCGAAAGCGUUUGCCCAGGAUGUUUNCAUUGA